Molecule: ribosomal RNA, 502 nt
Filed under: uncultured bacterium
Lineage: Bacteria
Description: bacterial SSU rRNA
Rfam family: Bacterial small subunit ribosomal RNA
Source: RNAcentral
AACGAACGCUGGCGGCGCGCCUAAUACAUGCAAGUCGAGCGAGAAGACGUAGCAAUACGUUUGUAAAGCGGCGAACGGGUGAGGAAUACAUGGGUAACCUACCCUCGAGUGGGGAAUAACUAGCCGAAAGGUUAGCUAAUACCGCGUACGCUCCUCGGACUUCGGUUCAGGGAGGAAAGCGAUACCGUGGGUAUCGCGCUCUUGGAUGGGCUCAUGUCCUAUCAGCUUGUUGGUGAGGUAACGGCUCACCAAGGCUUCGACGGGUAGCUGGUCUGAGAGGACGAUCAGCCACACUGGCACUGCGACACGAGCCAGACUCCUACGGGAGGCAGCAGUAAGGAAUAUUGCGCAAUGGGCGAAAGCCUGACGCAGCGACGCCGCGUGGGGGAUGAAGGUCUUCGGAUUGUAAACCCCUUUCGGGAGGGAAGAUGGAACGAGCAAUCGUUCGGACGGUACCUCCAGAAGCAGCCACGGCUAACUUCGUGCCAGCAGCCGCUGUAAC